CUGAGCUUUCAAGAGCUUGACGUAGUUCCUUUGACUUAUUCCAAAUUUUUGUUAUUCCAGAUGAGCGCAACAGCCUCAUUGGUUUUCCUGAAGAUUCAGACUCGGAGAAUGAAAAUGCUGUCAUCGAAAAACUAGCAAACGCUGUUGGUCAUCUAUUUACAGGUGAAAGUCUGGAUAGUGAAAGUAGUGAUCAAGAAAACUCCAGUGAAGCUGAACAUUCAAUUGAAACCGAGGAAGAGACUGAAAAUGAAGUCAGUGUAGGAGCAAGUACAGUCGUUGGCACUCAAGAACGAACAGUUUUUCUGAACAAUCGAAGUGAUUCUUUAGAUUCUGGGCUAGAACCAGAGAUGCAAACAGAAAAGACAGCCACCUAUUUCAUAAUUGAGGCGAAAGACUCAUUAGAAAUAAGUCUAUCAUCAAACACAAUUCGUGUUUUGACUGAAUUGAUGGACGCCUACAUCACAAAGACUCCGCUGCCUCAAAUUCGCACAAAUCAACUGAGUUUGCACAAUGAUAUUGCUCCUGACUCUGUCAUCACUCUUUUCCAAAGAACGAAGGUAUUUUUUCCAGGACUCCGUCUUGAUUUUUGUUCUGUAUUUUUCCGUUCUCCCUUUUUGCUUCACAAAUCUGAAAAAUCUGUUGUAAAACAGCAAUGCUGGUAAUAUGUAAGGUUUUCAAAUUUUAGCUCUGUUUCGUUUUUGUUUUUGUUUUGUUUGUUGUCACCUGAAUU
Molecule: long non-coding RNA, 730 nt
Filed under: Bemisia tabaci
Lineage: Eukaryota; Metazoa; Arthropoda; Insecta; Hemiptera; Aleyrodidae
Description: lncRNA ENSASIAIIG005049
Source: RNAcentral